This 481-nucleotide ribosomal RNA is filed under the name uncultured bacterium. Its description in RNAcentral is "bacterial SSU rRNA". It matches the Rfam family "Bacterial small subunit ribosomal RNA", at positions 28 to 521 of the family's 1533-position model. The record is from RNAcentral.
GACGAACGCUGGCGGCGCGCCUAACACAUGCAAGUCGAACGAGAGAUGAGGAGCUUGCUCUUCAAAUCGAGUGGCGAACGGGUGAGUAACGCGUGAGGAACCUGCCUCAAAGAGGGGGACAACAGUUGGAAACGACUGCUAAUACCGCAUAAGCCCACGGCUCGGCAUCGAGCAGAGGGAAAGGGAGCAAUCCGCUUUGAGAUGGCCUCGCGUCCGAUUAGCUAGUUGGUGAGGUAACGGCCCACCAAGGCAACGAUCGGUAGCCGGACUGAGAGGUUGAACGGCCACAUUGGGACUGAGACACGGCCCAGACUCCUACGGGAGGCAGCAGUGGGGAAUAUUGCACAAUGGGGGAAACCCUGAUGCAGCGACGCCGCGUGGAGGAAGAAGGUCUUCGGGAUUGUAAACUCCUGUUGUUGAGGAAGAUAAUGACGGUACUCAACAAGGAAGUGACGGCUAACUACGUGCCAGCAGCCGCGGU